UGCCAUGACUAAAAAUAGAAUAUGCAUGUGCAGAUGCAGUUAAGAAACCACUUACAUAACCAAGAGACCAACAGUUGAAUUUAAUUUGGUCUAAAUAUGAAUAUUUUUUCACAAUCGAAACCAUCAGUAGAUCAAUUACACCCCCUAACAUCAUCUGGUUGAGCAGAUGGAACGUUAACUUUAAGGAGGCAAUAGCCUAAUCAGUCUAAUAAUUCAUCUUAGCCAAUAUAUGUGGCAAAUAAAGUCUGAUACAUAACUCUGACAUCUAGCAAAAUCACCUAUCAUGACUUCUUCAAAUCCAUGAUCAUUUUUUUUGUCAUAUUGGCAAAUUGCUUGACACUCAGCCAAAAGGUGCUGACGUUCCAAGAUCCCUUUUCCACGACCUUCAAUCCAGUAAUAGCCAAAAACAGUCUAAAUAAGUUCACAUACAUAUUCCUAGUCAACCAUGAUUUACCGAUCUAAUAGUCCAGAGUAACAAUUACAGACAACGCUAAUAGAACUUUAUAGGAAACAAGAAUACUGCUUAGGCUAUUCCUUGAAAGAAACAACAAUGUGUUAGCGGUAAAAAAUGAUUGAUUAAAUUCCACAAGUGUUAGGUCAAUAGUCAUGCCUCUUAUGACUGAUGUAUACUCUCGUGUCAUUAGAGUAAUCUUACCACAAAUGCAGAAGGAUAACUAUAAAAGGCAACCAAAAUAAUUGAAGUAACAUAACUGCGUUACUUACCUUUGAAUUUUUUUAUUCACAUAGCAUUUAUAUUCUCAUUGAGUUUCUUUUAGUACCAUUGUUUGCCACCAAACUGACAUAAAACAGUCAAUGAAAAGAAGCAUGUGCAAAAUCAGUCCAAAGGAAAAGCUAAAGAAAUCAAGAAAUUCUACAAUUGCCUUCAACAAAAUUCAACAAUACCUCAUUGCAGAGCGCUCUUAUCUCUAAAACGUCACAACCUCUCAGAGAACUUUCUUUGACACAAUCUGAAGACAACCAAGAAAUUUGGACAUGCAUAAGUAGAAUCAAUUAAGAGAAGAGCAAAAGAACAGGUAGUUCUAGAAUAGUCAUAAGAAAUUUCUAUACCUUCUACGCGGAAAAUAUAAUACGGAGUAUAUGGAAUUCGAAAAGGGCAGAGGAAAAAUUUCAGGAAAAAAAAUAAUCAGAAUCCAGGAAGAAGAUGAUGUAAGAGAGGGAAAAAGAGCGCUAUGGGAAACCACAACGUACGAUCCACAACGUACGAUUCUAGAAAUAUGGAUACGAAGAAAGAAGAGAAGAUUCAAAACACGUCGUUCAAAAAGUAUACGUGUGAAAACCAAUUUGGAAAAAACAGCCCUCACUAUGCACCGUACGAUUUUAUCCUUGGACGACCAAAUUGUGCAUUUCAACGCUCAAACUCCAGAUUUUAUUGGACCAUCAUCCACAAGAUCUUGAACCUCACUGUAUUGAAUCCCACGGCACAAGAAUAAAAUCUAUCAUCAAAUUUUUAAUUAUGGCAUAACCAAAGAUAUGAGGCAAGCUUGCUCUGGAUUACUGUAAGUUUAAAAAAAUCACCAAAAUCACAUUUCUAAACUUACAAAAUUUAUUUUGUGUGCCUUGGGUAUGACAUCAUCACUUUGUAGAGUUGUAUAGCUCAUUCAUGGCUGCAAAAAUAAAGUAUAUUUAGGUAUAAAAUGGUAACUAAGUUAUGCUAGAGCCCAAUACAUCUUUAAAAUAAAGACUAUCUUUCAUGUUUCUUACUUUUCUUAAUUUUUUCUCCUUCAUGCAUUUCAAUUCAACAUUCUGCAAAAAAAGGAAAGCAGCAAUCCUGGUCAUAAACAAAUCUAUAUAUAACAUUUUUAUACCAAAUGCACUAAAGUAAAAUUUGCUAUAUAAACAAAAUAUCAAUUAAUAGCGAGUCAGUCAUAAAUAAUUUUGGAUUUUGCUAGGUACGACCAAUGGUCACUAUGUAGUAUUUUGGGCUAUUUUCUAUAUAUAACCAAACAUUUGUUGAGUAACAGAUUAAACUCUGUUUUUUUUCUUUCAUUCAAGCAUUAUCCUAUUUCUAUGUAGAACUUACAAGUCACAACUAAGAAGUUACUUAUAGAAAAUUAAGCUCUUUCACAUACCUAUUACCUGUACCAUGUCAGUGAUAGUCAUACUAUCCUUCUUCCUUUUGUUAGAGCAGAUUCUUUAACACAUGAAGGAUAUGGAAAGAAUAUUAUAUCAGUUCAUUUUCUCACAUUCAUCGUAAGUAUAAGAGUUACCUGACAGUUGAAGUGUGAAGAAAUGCACAGAACAAUAGAAGAAGCACCAGAAACACAUAGAAGAAUAUAAGCCCCUGAGGUUGCAGUUUUCUUCCAAAAUUACCAGCUGUUUUUCGAUUGUUAUACCUGUAAGAAAAGCCGCUAGAAAUUACUUGUAUUUACAAAAUUAAAUUGUAUUCCAUUACAACAAAGGAGGCCAUGCAUAAAUAGAGGCCACUAUAAGAGUGAAAAUACAAAGCAGCAACAUGCAAAGAUCGAAAAUACCAAAUUGAACUCAUCUGACCGAUUUUAACUUAUAUUAAGUCAGAACCCCUAUAUCUAAACCAACAAAAUAGGAUUAGUUGUUUGUGAUUGUAGAAAAAACUGUUAACCUACCCUGAUAAAAAAAUAUUUGAAGGUAUGCGCUAGGAAUCGACAUUCUUUGAAGUAUUCUGCAAAUGGAUGAUAAUGUUUCACUUAAUUAAAUCCUAAUUCCUGAUUGCAUGUACAAGAUUCAGUGAAGAAAAAAGUUAAAUAAUAACUCUGUCAAUCUAAAAAGACCAAUUCACAGAUAUAAACAAUAAAAUAAAAUUCAUAUUAUUAUCAAAGUUCAAGGGAAAAAUAUCAAUAUUGACGAUGGAAUCCAUGGUGACUCUACUUCCAGGACAAAGCUCUACACGACUCUACUUCCAAGAGAAAGCUCUACACCAUGGUGCCGAAGGAAUCGAUGGAAAUGAAUCUAUGGAGAGGAAGAACGGAGAUUCAAGCCGCUUCCGAGAAAGCGAAAGUGAAGCGUGAAAGGAAAAGUGAAGAAAAGCAAAAAGACUUGGACGCUAGCUGUCCCACAAGGGCUAUAACUGAGAAUCAAAAUAUAAAAGCACCCUUGAAAACCAAAAAUAUUUCGAGAUUGUCCUUCGUCGUACCUAAGGGCUUCACUUAUUAUAUAGUUACUAGAUGGCUGGUGCCCGCGCUGUGCACGGGCAUAUGCUCGACAGUAUUGUAUGUAUUGUUUGCACAGCUACAGCCCAACAUAGGAGGUUCAGGCGCCAGCUUUCUACUUCUAUGAAGUAAAUUAUUGAAGGAAACUUUGAUUUUGUUUCAGGUGUCCAUAUUUCAUAUUUCACACAUCUAUUCCCGGGCCUCUUGCCAAAGUGAAAUGUGGAAAUGUGUUGUUUUGCCUCAAAAUUUCCCACACUUAUUGAUGAAUAUCAAUUCACUUCCUGAAGGAAGACAAAAAAUAAAGUAGCAAAGUGCAAAACAAUCUUUAGAUCCAGGAAAAGUAUAAUCCAUUGAAUGCAAUGAAUCACAUGAUGACUGCAAUUUCAGAUCAUGGACACUAACUUGUAAAUCUUUUUCAUUCUUUAGCAAAUAAAAUCCAUCUCUACCCCAAAAUGAGCUUUUUAAUUCAUAGUACAACACAUGCAAUGUUAUUGGAGUAUCUAAAACAGUAACGCCGACUCUAAAACAAACUGACUUUGCCUGCCUCAUUUUUGUGCUCUUCUAGAGUUGUGAUCAUCCAACCCAAGGCUCAAGAGUUCAAUCUCAUUUUCGCAAUUUGCAAUCCCUUUCUCUACAGUCAGUUUGGCAUAUCAUAACAACUCCUGCAAUCCAAGAGUUUAAUCUCAUUUUCGAAAUCUGCUAUCCCUUUCUCUACAGUCAGUUUGGCAUAUCAUAACAACUCCUGCAUGGCUUUAAACCAAUAUACAGUAAGUACCAUAUUCAUAAUCAAAAAGUUUGUAGAAAAAUAAAGAAACUAAAGGAAAUUAAACAAUCUUAACCCCAGCUUCUUUGACUACUGUAUGGAAAUAGAAUUUCAGAAAUGGAACUAAUGCCGGAGCACCCUUUUCAGGCAUAAUAUCACUUGUUUAAUUCAACAUUAAGCGAAAGAUUCCACUCAAUAGCAUAUGAAAUAUGAGAAAAAAUAAAUACAAACCUGGUCAAUCCAGGGGUAGAAACCUUCCUUCAACUCAUCACUCAUGCAUGCCUUGGAAACAGUGGAUCACCUUUUCAAUUCUGGAAAUUUUGCAAGAAUUAUAUGGAAGAAAUAUGGUGGCUAUGUAGGCAUCCAAACUGAGAACAUGCCUCUGAGGUUGCUUCUUAUGAAAUGGUGGAUGCUGAAAACUAAUAAUACUGUGCAAAAACUCAUCCUAGAUACUCUUCCCAUCAUCAUUUGCUGGAAUCUUUAGAAGAACAGAUGUAGUGCCAAGUAUGGGGCCAAAAACUCUUCCCUUACUAGAGUCCUCUACUCAGUCAAUUCAGACAUCAACCUACUCCUAAGAUCCAACUACCCAGACCUCCAAUGGCCUUUUAAUUGGGGGGAACUUUACGCCUUCAUUGAAAACCUUCAGCACCACAUUACCAUAACUCAAGUCACAUGGAGCAAGCCAGACAAUGGAUUUGUCAAAAUCAAUUCAGAUGGAAGUGCAAUGACAAAUCCUGGUAAGAUUGGAGGAGGUGUCAUCAUCAGGAACCAAAAUGGUCACUUCAUUCAUGCAAUGGCUAUUCCAUUGGGGGAGGGUACCAACAAUUAUGCUGAAACUGAAGCAGCCAGAAUAGGAGUUCAGUGGUGUUUGGAUAGUGGAUUUCCAAGAAUUCAUUUGGAAGCAGAUUCUGCACUCCUAGUAAAUUGGUAGGAAAAUGACCUUCCAUGGGUUUUAAGUGAGAAGAUCUCUCAACUCAGGCUCCUAUGCUCUCUCUUUGAGGAUUUCAAGGUUACUCAUGUUUAUAGAGAAGCAAAUUGCCCGGCUGAUUCCCUUUCAAAACUCAGUCAUGAACUCACUUUACCAACUCAUUUCACCAAUGCUGCAUCAUUACCAUCCCAUAUCAGAGGUCAAAUAGUCCAAGACCAAUUGAGUACCCCAGUCUCCAGACACAAGAAAACUAACAGGCUGCUGGUACCACCUCAACAUGCAAGUCCUCUCUCCACAUCUAAUGGUUAUGGUUGAAGCAAUAUCAAAGAAGGAGGCCCAUCCCAACAACUAAAGGAGAUGGUCAGACAGGAAGCUUUCACUAACUCUGUUUUCUUUUUUGCAGGUCCAUCUCUUUUAUGAACUCACCAGUCCUUUGUUGAUAUUCCAAGGGGUGGUAUCAGCACUUGUGCUCACUCCUCUGAAAUUACAACAAAAGAAUGAUGAAGAUCAUAAAGAGAAGCAGGAUUCCUCCUAUACCAUUCAUCACAAUAGACCACCAGAUUUUCACCACCAACACAAAAAACCUUUUCAAAAAGAGGAAAAAAACCUGAAACAAAUGCAAUUCCUAUGUGCACCUCUUCUGGUAUUCCUUCCCCUCCCCAACAAUGCUUCUAGAACCCACAAGAACCUAGGAGCACCCCCCUUCUGUUGGCAAUGCAAUUCUGCACACCACCCUGAACCUCUCAAAUACAGCUUUCCCAAAAAACUGAGCACAAAUGUUCAAUUUCCUACUAACACAUUUCUCUGUUUGCAGGUUCAUCCUCAUGGCCACCACUCAUCCAAUUGAUACACUUCCUAGGAGUGGUAUUAAUAUCAUUGAUGUUCAUUCUCCUGGAAGUAGAUCAGUUGGCUCUCACAACUCAUUCCAACAGUAGCAUCAAAUUACCAAAAAACAGUAGCAUCAACCCACAGAUGCAAUCAGGAACACUCACCUCUCCCAUAAGGAACUUAACAGAUACAAACACAGAAAAUUCAAAGCUUUUUGUAGCUGAAACCUUUAGGAGCUCAGCUGAAUCCAACCUUUUGCCCUCUUUACCACUUCAACAUCUCCAAGGGUAUUAUUCAUGAAUCCCUCUCACCUGAAACCCUUUACACUCAAAGCAACAUUCAAGCACCUAACUUUAGUCUACACAAGAACCUAAAGAUAGGUACCAUCCUCCAUAAAUCAGGGGUCCCAAUUCCCCCCCUUGCCCCCAGAUUCAACACUCAGUCAGUGGUAUCAGCAUUCUUAUGCUCGUUCUGCUGAAAAUGCAUCAGUUGAUCCAAAUCUCUUCACCAACUUCCUUAUACACCCUUUGGGUCUUUCAACCUUGGAUACAACACUCAGCAUAUAUCACAACCAUGAGGCCAUCAGUUCUCAGAACUCAGGCAAAGUCUCAGAAGCAGUUGCAGUUCCAGAAGCAGAUGCAGCCACAGCAUUUCACCACCAAUGCAGCCAUCCCUGUCCAAGACACUCUGCCCAGUUCAAAAUUUAUCAACUGGACAACUGAAGCAAGACCUGAGCCACCAUUUUGCUCACUCUUUUCUGUCAGAAUCAGCAGACAGCGGCAGCCCAGUGCAUCCACUCUUGGAGCCUUUUUGACAGUUAUCUUCCACUUGGCUUUCUUGGUUUACAAUGCUAAAGCAAAGUGGAAGAUAGCCCCUACCAAGGAUCUUGAUCAGGCAUCAUUCCUGUUAGGACAUUUCUACAUGUAUAGAUGUAGAACUUGUUGUAUAAGGAAGAACCUUUCCAACUUUUUUGCAUAGAUUUAGGUUUACUUAUGCUAGUCUGUAUAGUUGACCUAGGUUAUUCUCAGCUUGAUUUUGUAUAUCUGAUUACCUACCACUUAGGGGUAGAUAAUUGGAACCUCAUGUUAGGUCUAACCCAUCACAGCAUACAGGUGUCAUUUGGAUGUCAAUGUUGGACAAACAAAUGCCCUUUCAUCUUAUUUCUGGAGGUUAGGUUUUAUGUCCCCCUCCAAUGUUGUACUUUAUAUUAUAUAUAUGAAAAUCAACCCUAGGCACAAUGCCUAGUGGAUUCCAAAAAAAAAAAAAAAUCUCAUCACUCAUCAGCAUAGCAGUAGAACAUAUAAAAACUCGUAUCCUGUCCUCUGCCUUUUUCUGCCAAUCUUUCUAUCCUCUAGAGUUAAAGUAUCCAUAUAAAUACAGAAAAACAAAAACAGAUUUAGGUCAUGGACAUUGUAAAACACGUCUUCAGGGUUGUUUCAUACGAAAACUAAUGACUGUGAAGAAGGUUAUAGUUUUUACCAUAUUCUAUUAGCUUGAUCCAGAAGUAGAUAGCACCUCCUCAAGGUUCUUUCAUAUGAAAAGUAAUGAAAAUGAAUGUAGGAAAAGAUAUUAAUAAAUUCUAUCAGAGAAUAUCAAUUCUACUGCAAAAGAACCCUGCCACUUGCAUACCACAUCUUACCUUUGCAGUGACCUUUGUUUUAUUACUUUUUUAACAAACUGAUGCAAAUAUCAUUUGUUGAAACUACGCGUAACAUGAGAAAAUGCAUAUACCAAAUUUAGCAGCAAGGUAAGAGAAUAAGCAAUUUUUCACAAGAAAGCAAUAAAACCAAAAUAUCAUUACACCAAAUAUAGUAGUAAUUUUCUAACCAAAAUAAUAGGAUAUGAUUUCUACUGUAAUUGGGAUUGUAAUAGUGUACCAGCAAAUAAUAGAUAUAAGUCAGGUACAGCAGACUCUGGAGGGAAAACAUGAGAAGAUCAACUUGAUGAAUCUCGAUGACUCUUAAACUUGUGUGCCUUAGUAAUAAGCAAAAUCCCCAAAAACAAGC
This 7671-nucleotide long non-coding RNA is filed under the name Nicotiana tabacum (common tobacco). RNAcentral's name for it is "long non-coding RNA (NTAB_LNC009591)". The record is from RNAcentral. Lineage: Eukaryota; Viridiplantae; Streptophyta; Magnoliopsida; Solanales; Solanaceae.